GAUGAACGCUAGCGGCAGGCCUAAUACAUGCAAGUCGAGGGAGAAUGUUGGAUUCGUCUGACAUGAAACCGGCGCACGGGUGCGUAGCACGUAUGCAACCUACCUUUAACUGGGGUAUAGCUCAGAGAAAUCUGAACUAAUCCCCCAUAAGACUACGACAUGGCAUCAUGAUGUAGUUAAAGCUCCGGCGGUUAAGGAUGGGCAUGCGGUACAUUAGCUAGUUGGUGAGGUAAUGGCUCACCAAGGCUACGAUGUAUAGGGGGUCUGAGAGGAUGAUCCCCCACACUGGAACUGAGAAACGGACCAGACUCCUACGGGAGGCAGCAGUAGGGAAUAUUGGUCAAUGGACGCAAGUCUGAACCAGCCAUGCCGCGUGAAGGAUGAAGGCCCUAUGGGUCGUAAACUUCUUUUAUUAGGGAAGAAAAAACGGGAUGCGUCCUGUACUGACGGUACUUAAUGAAUAAGGAUCGGCUAACUUCGUGCCAGCAGCCGCGGUAA
RNAcentral lists this ribosomal RNA (498 nucleotides) under uncultured bacterium. RNAcentral's name for it is "partial 16S ribosomal RNA". It matches the Rfam family "Bacterial small subunit ribosomal RNA", at positions 28 to 523 of the family's 1533-position model. The record is from RNAcentral.